GGAUGUGAGGGUGAUCUGGCUGUGACAUCUGUCACCCCAUUAAUCGCCAGGGUUGAUUUGGCUGAUCUGGCUGGCUAGGCGGGUGUCCCCUUCCUCCCUCACCGCUCCAUGUGUGUCCCUCCCGAAGCUGCGCACUCAGUGGAAGAGGGCGACGUCCCAGGUAUAGAAGGAGUGUACCGAGGUCUCUAGUCUUCGGUCCCGGGUAUACAAUCACUGCGCUCCCCUGCUAGAACCUCCAAACAAACUCAAGGACAUAGGCAUUGCUAAUAAGUCAGUAUUUAGAUAUAUUUAAAAACGUCCACUUCCCAUGUAAAAACUGCUGUGGAGGAUCAGAGGGCUCUUU
Molecule: small nuclear RNA, 343 nt
Filed under: Anolis carolinensis (green anole)
Lineage: Eukaryota; Metazoa; Chordata; Lepidosauria; Squamata; Anolidae
Description: 7SK RNA
Rfam family: 7SK RNA (bases 1-304)
About the family: 7SK was discovered as an abundant small nuclear RNA in the mid-70s but a possible function has only recently been suggested. Two independent studies have found that 7SK RNA binds the CDK9/cyclin T complex (known as elongation factor P-TEFb).
Source: Rfam by way of RNAcentral